AGGCACUGUUCGUGGCCUGUUAGUCUGGCCGUGGCUGACGGGCUCCACUCCAGUGCCAUAGCAGCUCCAGGGGCACAUGACUGACUGACUCGUGGCUCUUAGUUUCAGGUCCUGGGGACAUAC
RNAcentral lists this small nucleolar RNA (123 nucleotides) under Suricata suricatta (meerkat). The record is from RNAcentral. Lineage: Eukaryota; Metazoa; Chordata; Mammalia; Carnivora; Herpestidae.